AAAAUUUAUCACCUUUGUAGUCAUUGCAAAGUAAAAUGCUUGAAUAAUUAGAACAUAUCAUUGACUAAUAAUGAGCAGAAUAAUAUAAGAAGAUGUGGUAUGAGUGCCAAUAAGAAAACUUUCCAUCUGUCAUUAUUCGUUAAGUAAACCAUCAUAGGCUAAAAUACAAUCUUCAACACGGAGCAUUGGCUCACACCGAAUAGCAAACACUAAAAAGGCCCCCAAAACGAUAUCCAUGUUACUACUAGUAUAUAUAAUACAAAGAAAAUUAAGUAAACUUAGGUUAUACCGAAGAUCAAAAUUUAAAGCUGCUAAUAUAGUUAUAACCGAAUAUAAAUAUACUUCCAAAGUACUGUAAGUUCUAGUUUGAGAACUGUGUAAAGUUUGUUAAUUCAAACAAGUUACCC
This 407-nucleotide long non-coding RNA is filed under the name Mytilus galloprovincialis (Mediterranean mussel). The record is from RNAcentral. Lineage: Eukaryota; Metazoa; Mollusca; Bivalvia; Mytilida; Mytilidae.